RNAcentral lists this long non-coding RNA (620 nucleotides) under Homo sapiens (human). Its description in RNAcentral is "HSALNT0046671". Lineage: Eukaryota; Metazoa; Chordata; Mammalia; Primates; Hominidae. The record is from RNAcentral.
CUAAGAGGAGGUUGUGUGGAAAUUUUCCUGCUGUCCAGCAAUUAGCAAAGACCUACAUUUGAGGGCAAUACAUUCUAUGUACCCCACAUUCUAAAGAAAGCAGUUGACUGUGAGCACUUGGAUUCUAGGUACCUCCACUGGAGCCUUACUAGGAAAGAGCACAGUUGUCCUUACUUCAAUCAACUACUGCUGUCUCCUCCCUCACUCCAUCAAUAACAUUCAAGAAAGGAUGAGAAAGGGAACUGAGACAUGAAUGAUGGAAGAAAUUAUUAGCUUACUACAGAAUGCAGCAAUCAUGGUUAGAGGCCAAGUGAAGUAGCAGCCUCCAAAGGGAAAAUUUUAGUGUCUGGGCUUUAGAGACCUGCAAGAAUAGGAGAUUGCAUCUUCUUCUCCAACCAAAUGAUUGCUGGCAGCUUUCCUGGAACUGACCUCAUAGUGGAGUAGAACGGAGUAGAAGAGGGAGUUCUUGGAAGGGCAUGUCAGAUUCCCAAACGUGAGGCAGCAGUUCCCUCGGCUUCACCUCAUUUGAGUAGCAAGAGGAAUUGGAACCAAUAGACCAAGCAACAUUUUCGUCUACAUUUUCAAAAGUUUAUUCUCUAUAUUUGUAUAUUAUUCUCCAU